AGAGCGAACGCUGGCGGCAGGCCUAAUACAUGCAAGUCGAACGGACCCUUCGGGGUUAGUGGCGGACGGGUGAGUAACACGUGGGAACGUGCCCUUUGGUUCGGAACAACUCAGGGAAACUUGAGCUAAUACCGAAUGUGCCCCCAUCCUUAAACAAGAUGGGUGGGAAAGAUUUAUCGCCAUUGGAGCGGCCCGCGUCUGAUUAGCUAGUUGGUGGGGUAAAGGCUCACCAAGGCUACGAUCAGUAGCUGGUCUGAGAGGAUGAUCAGCCACACUGGGACUGAGACACGGCCCAGACUCCUACGGGAGGCAGCAGUAGGGAAUCUUGCGCAAUGGGCGAAAGCCUGACGCAGCCAUGCCGCGUGAAUGAUGAAGGUCUUAGGAUUGUAAAAUUCUUUCAGCGGGGACGAUAAUGACGGUACCCGCAGAAGAAGCCCCGGCUAACUUCGUGCCAGCAGCCGC
This 462-nucleotide ribosomal RNA is filed under the name uncultured bacterium. RNAcentral's name for it is "SSU rRNA". It matches the Rfam family "Bacterial small subunit ribosomal RNA", at positions 26 to 518 of the family's 1533-position model. The record is from RNAcentral.